This is a long non-coding RNA of Ictalurus punctatus (channel catfish), 1100 nucleotides long. The record is from Ensembl. NCBI's taxonomy places the organism in Eukaryota, Metazoa, Chordata, Actinopteri, Siluriformes, Ictaluridae.
AAAAAAAAAAAAAAAAAGAAAUUGAUAAACUGACAAAGUGAAAAAGUGCUUACUACGAGACCACAUCUUUUUUUUUCCCCCUGACCUAAUCGCAAUUUAAAGAACUGCUCCGUCUGCGUUUGAACAUCCGACGCUUGACUCGGACGCUUUUAAAUCGGUGGUCGGUGUUUUUCAGUGUUUUCAGUUCCUCACAGUGUAAAAUUUGCCUGCUAACUGCUUUCCGAGCAAAAACAUCUUUGGUUUUCGUGUCCAUCAUAAAGAAGAACGGAUCGACUCUGAACUCUGUCGAGGUGGUGUAAACAGCUAGAGGACAAAGUGUGUAAAGCCCGUGUUCAGAGUGACGGCCUGCUUUUUAAGGAAACAAAUCCUCUUUACCUUCACGAUUUGCAUAAACUCUACAGGUUGAUUUAUUUCCUGGAGUGAACAGCAGCUUUGUUCUUGCCAUCUUGCAUAUGGAUUAACAGGGGCUCUGUGUGUGUGUGUGUGUGUGUGUGUGUGUGUGUGUGUAUGUCUCUCGUAUAACAGUGUGUCUUUCAUACAGUAAUGCAGAACCGGGCUUUCUGCCAAAUCGCCACAUGUGAUGCCGUCCAAAGGGUUCCAGUGUGCCGAGCAGGUGAAUGAACAGGCCGCUGUGUUAGACCUGAGAUUGGAAUGAAUGCAGCCACUCAGUGAAAGUGUGUUACCCUCGGGUGAGAGUUUCUCACGUAUCACUGGACAAGAAGAGGUUGCUGGGGUUGUGUGGCGUUAAAAGGCUACGUGCAUGGACGUGUUCAGGACCUGCCCUCGGUGAGUUUAAUGCUCGACUGCCUUUACAUUACAGGUCUAUAAUCUCCUCGUGCCUUGGGGAACCGUGCGAGACCGUGAGCUCAGGUGCAUCAGGAAGCACUUCCUCUUUUCCCCUGACUUUCUCACCUGACAUUCUCUCAGUCUUUCUUCUAUCCCUCCAUUCCGUCGUGCUUCCACAGUCGCGCUCCGUCACUUCCUGUCUCCUUAUUUUAUUCUCAUGCCUCAUCACAUCUCGGAGAAGUCCCUCCUUCUCUUCUCUCUUCUCUCCUUCUCCUGUCUCAGGAGAAGUAAACGUGAAUAAGGGGUUAAUGAAC